This 563-nucleotide ribosomal RNA is filed under the name uncultured bacterium. Its description in RNAcentral is "partial 16S ribosomal RNA". It matches the Rfam family "Bacterial small subunit ribosomal RNA", at positions 355 to 932 of the family's 1533-position model. The record is from RNAcentral.
UGGGGAAUAUUGCACAAUGGGCGCAAGCCUGAUGCAGCAACGCCGCGUGAGGGAUGACGGCCUUCGGGUUGUAAACCUCUUUUAGUAGGGAAGAAGCGAAAGUGACGGUACCUGCAGAAAAAGCACCGGCUAACUACGUGCCAGCAGCCGCGGUAAUACGUAGGGUGCGAGCGUUGUCCGGAAUUAUUGGGCGUAAAGAGCUCGUAGGCGGUCUGUCGCGUCUGCUGUGAAAACCCGAGGCUCAACCUCGGGCCUGCAGUGGGUACGGGCAGACUAGAGUGCGGUAGGGGAGAAUGGAAUUCCUGGUGUAGCGGUGGAAUGCGCAGAUAUCAGGAGGAACACCGAUGGCGAAGGCAGUUCUCUGGGCCGUAACUGACGCUGAGGAGCGAAAGCGUGGGGAGCGAACAGGAUUAGAUACCCUGGUAGUCCACGCCGUAAACGUUGGGCGCUAGAUGUGGGGACCAUUCCACGGUUUCCGUGUCGCAGCUAACGCAUUAAGCGCCCCGCCUGGGGAGUACGGCCGCAAGGCUAAAACUUGAAAUGAAUUGACGGGGUCAUAGCUG